Esox lucius (northern pike) is the source of this 2156-nucleotide long non-coding RNA. The record is from Ensembl. Lineage: Eukaryota; Metazoa; Chordata; Actinopteri; Esociformes; Esocidae.
GACGUUUUCAAUGGACAGUCACUUCAAGGGUGAAAGUGACAGGGGGUUAUAGAGCUCAUUGACAGGGGGUUAUAGAGUUAAUUGACAGGGGGUUAUAGAGUUAAUUGACAGGGGGUUAUAGAGUUAAUUGACAGGGGGUUAUAGAGUUAAUUGACAGGGGGUUAUAGAGCUCAUUGACAGGGGGUUAUAGAGUUCAUUGACAGGGGGUUAUAGAGUUAAUUGACAGGGGGUUAUAGAGUUAAUUGACAGGGGGUUAUAGAGUUAAUUGACAGGGGGUUAUAGAGUUCAUUGACAGGGGGUUAAAGAGUUAAUUGACAGGGGGUUAAAGAGUUCAUUGACAGGGGGUUAUAGAGUUAAUUGACAGGGGGUUAUAGAGUUAAUUGACAGGGGGUUAUAGGGUUAAUUGACAGGGGGUUAUAGAGUUCAUUGACAGGGGGUUAUAGAGUUCAUUGACAGGGGGUAUAUAUGAUGGAUAAAGACAGACAGAAAGACAGACAUACAGAAUGUAACUCCAAAGGGUUUUGUCUGUUCUGUGGUCUGUAUAAUGGAUGAUUAGUAUGAGGAGGUGGUCUGUAUAAUGGAUGAUCAGUAUGAGGAGGUGGGCUAUAUAAUGGAUGAUUAGUAUGAGGAGGUGGGCUAUAUAAUGGAUGACCAGUAUGAGGAGGUGGGCUGUAUAAUGGAUGACCAGUAUGAGGAGGUGGUCUGCAGUGGUCCUCCUGCCAGCAUUGAGCGGCGUCAUUUUCAGGUAAACAACAACAACAUUUCACAGCAUUAACAUCACAACAACCCCCAUUGACUUCCACUACACUGACACAUACUGGCAAUAUUUCAACAAUGCAAAAUAUGACUCAAGAGGACGUUUACAUUUAUCCUGUGGUGAACGCAAAACACAGGUUAGAAGACUAAGGGCAUCCCAAAUGACACCCCUAGAUAGAUAGUGCACUCCUUUUCACCAGAGCCCUAUUCCCUAGAUAGUGCACUUCUUUUCACCAGAGCCCUAUUCCCUAGAUAGUGCACUUCUUUUCACCAGAGCCCUAUUCCCUAGAUAGUGCUCUCCUUUUCAACAGAGCCCUAUUCCCUAGAUAGUGCACUCCUUUUCACCAGAGCCCUAUUCCCUAGAUAGUGCACUCCUUUUCACCAGAGCCCUAUUCCCUAGAUAGUGCACUACUUUUCACCAGAGCCCUAUUCCCUAGAUAGUGCACUCCUUUUCACCAGAGCCCUAUUCCCUAGAUAGUGCACUCCUUUCCACCAGAGCCCUAUUCCCUAGAUAGUGCACUCCUUUUCACCAGAGCCCUAUUCCCUAGAUAGUGCACUCCUUUCCACCAGAGCCCUAUUCCCUAGAUAGUGCACUCCUUUCCACCAGAGCCCUAUUCCCUAGAUAGUGCACUCCUUUCCACCAGAGCCCUAUUCCCUAGAUAGUGCACUCCUUAAGACUAUGGCUGGGGUGAAAAUAAGUACACCUUGUAAGGAAUAGGGUACCAUUUGGGAGGGAGCUGAGGGUUGGUCGUUGGCUUCAUUUGACUCCUCCAUCGUUGUAGUUCUUAACCCCAGGAGAGUUCUGCUUCAUGUUCACUCUCUGGAGGGAAGGAUGUGUUUAUGUCCUCAACCACACCCUAUUUACUGCAUGUCACAUGGUGAACAGGUAGAGAAUACACACAGGGCUGUCUUACAGAAGAGUGGGAAUUUUAACCAGCUCAGGAUGGGUGUCUGAUGUCUGGGCUACAGUCAGACAAACCUCCAUCCCCAUCAAUGGGAUUAGACCGGCCUGAACUGGGCAGGGACAAGACAGACAAGGACUAGGCUGGGACUAGAUGACCAGGACUGGUUGGGACUGGACCGACCAGGACUGGGCUGGGAUUAGACCGGUCAGGGCUGGGACUAGACUGACCAGGACUAGGCUGGGAUUAGGGAGGGUUUCACACCUGCCAAACAGAGGAUGUCCAUGACAACUUUGGGAUCCUCGGGGCCGAUGUUAUCAAGGGUAGAUGUGUCUGCUGUGCGUCCUAAAUGGCAAACUGUCUCCUAUGUAGUGAACUACCUCUGACAUCUGAUCUCAAAGAGGAUCAGGAUGUCAUGGCCUGGGUGGUGUUAGACAGCAUUCCAGACCUGGGUUAUGAAGGUCAACAGUGGCCCUAUUCCAGACCUGGGUUAUGAAA